RNAcentral lists this ribosomal RNA (152 nucleotides) under Streptococcus salivarius. Its description in RNAcentral is "partial 16S ribosomal RNA". It matches the Rfam family "Bacterial small subunit ribosomal RNA", at positions 1382 to 1533 of the family's 1533-position model. RNAcentral also lists the same sequence under 1 other name. Lineage: Bacteria; Bacillati; Bacillota; Bacilli; Lactobacillales; Streptococcaceae. The record is from RNAcentral.
UGUACACACCGCCCGUCACACCACGAGAGUUUGUAACACCCGAAGUCGGUGAGGUAACCUUAUGGAGCCAGCCGCCUAAGGUGGGAUAGAUGAUUGGGGUGAAGUCGUAACAAGGUAGCCGUAUCGGAAGGUGCGGCUGGAUCACCUCCUUU